UGGGGAAUCUUGCACAAUGGGCGAAAGCCUGAUGCAGCGACGCCGCGUUCGGGAUGAAGGCCUUCGGGUUGUAAACCGCCUUCAGCAGGGACGAGGCCGCAAGGUGACGGUACCUGCAGAAGAAGCCCCGGCUAACUACGUGCCAGCAGCCGCGGUAAUACGUAGGGGGCAAGCGUUAUCCGGAUUCAUUGGGCGUAAAGCGCGCGUAGGCGGUUGGUUAGGUCAGGAGUUAAAUCUGGGGGCUCAACCCCUAUCCGCUCCUGAUACCGGCAGGCUUGAGUCUGGUAGGGGAAGGCGAAAUUCCAAGUGUAGCGGUGAAAUGCGAAGAUAUUGGGAAGAACACCGGUGGCGAAGGCGGCCUUCUGGGCCACGACUGACGCUGAGGCGCGAAAGCUAGGGGAGCGAACAGG
RNAcentral lists this ribosomal RNA (410 nucleotides) under Verrucomicrobiota bacterium. Its description in RNAcentral is "Verrucomicrobia bacterium partial 16S ribosomal RNA". It matches the Rfam family "Bacterial small subunit ribosomal RNA", at positions 355 to 776 of the family's 1533-position model. Lineage: Bacteria; Pseudomonadati; Verrucomicrobiota. The record is from RNAcentral.